This 267-nucleotide unclassified non-coding RNA is filed under the name Hevea brasiliensis (rubber tree). The record is from RNAcentral. Lineage: Eukaryota; Viridiplantae; Streptophyta; Magnoliopsida; Malpighiales; Euphorbiaceae.
GCGACGAGGCGGUGUCGAGGAUCAAUCAGUUGGGCCAAAUAUCUGAUGCUGACGGCUAUCUCGAGAGAACAUUCUUAAGUCCCGCCUCUAUAAGAGCCACGAAUCUUAUUCGGAGCUGGAUGCACGAUUCAGGAUUGAGAACGUGGGUGGACCAAAUGGGAAACAUUCACGGUCGUAUUGAAACAAGGAAUACGUCGGCAGAAACCCUAUUAGUUGGAUCUCAUAUGGAUACUGUAGUUGAUGCUGGUGCUUAUGAUGGAUCGCUGG